AUGCUGGGUAGAGGUAUUAAUUUGAACAGGGGAGAUGUGGCUAGACUCCGGCUCUAUAGCCUGGAUGGUAGAAUCCCCUUCAAAGACAGAUUCCCACUACUCUUUGAGACUUGUAUUGAUCAAAACUGUACUGUUGACAAAUUUAAGAAUCUUAACCAGAUCUCCUCAUUUAGGAGGAGGAUGUCUCAUGAGAUGACGAAACAAUGGGAGGAAAUGAAUAAAGAGAUGUUAACGUUGAAACAAAGUGAUUUGCCAGAUGAGGUUUAUUGGAAAUUGGAUAGUUCGGGCAAAUAUAAUACAAAGUCCAUGUACACAUGGCUGGAAAGGGAUAUAGCAGGAUCUAAAUUUAAUUGGAUUUGGGAUGCUAAACUUCCUCUUAAAAUUCAGAUAUUCUUGUGGUAG
RNAcentral lists this ribosomal RNA (402 nucleotides) under Triticum aestivum (bread wheat). Its description in RNAcentral is "partial small subunit ribosomal RNA". The record is from RNAcentral. Lineage: Eukaryota; Viridiplantae; Streptophyta; Magnoliopsida; Poales; Poaceae.